AGCGGUGAAGGGCGGUCGAGUUAUGUCGGGCCAGUCGCAAAUGGUCAAUGGCGUCGGAGACAUCACGGACGACCUGGGAUUUGGAAGUGACACCAGAGGAAGAGGAUCGAGGAGACGACCGUCCAGGAGAAGCUGUCGAAGACUCGCCGAAGAGGAAGGAGCGAAUCAUCAUCAGAGAGAGAUGCCCACGAGUACCGCAGUCAAUGCAUAACAAAUCCAUGGACACCCUGGCAGGUCCUUAAGAAGCGGCGGGCUUGAAGUAAACAUUUCGUCGUCGGCCGGCAGCAAAAGGCUCCUGGACGCCAUUCCUCGGUUCGCGAGUCGACAAACAACGAGCCGCACAAGCGAGGACGAACAACCCAUAAAACGAUUUCGAGCUCCCACAGCCGGGGGGCCCGGUAGUCGAUUCGCGGGCCCUCUCGGCGUCGGUAACGAGGAUUUUGACUCGGCCAGCCUUCGGGGAACUCCGUCUCCGACCUCUCGAAGACGCUUCAAGGGAACGAGCGAAUUGAUUCUCGGGGAAGACCCUUAAGGUGAUAUGAAGAUCACCUAGAAGAGGGACGCGCUCCGUCGACCCUCGAGGAGGGCGUUUCCGAUGUCGCCGCACUUCCUAAGGAAGGCGAAACGAGGAGAAUUAGCGGUAUCGUGCCAUCCGGACGAAGGGUAACCACAAGGCGGCGAGGAAAUCGUUAAGAAGAAGGGGCCGAGGCGCGCUUACUCUAGCGUGGCUCCCUCCUUUCAGGAGUCCUGAACUUCCAGGUCGCCGAUCGGAACCAGGAACGGCGACGCCUCGGAAACGGGGAUUUCUCUCCGCCUCGGAGGAGAGUCCCUUAUCGAGGGCCUCCUGGCACCGCGCAGCGGGCUAGCCAUUUCCGUUUCCCGGGGGACAAUGAGUCUCUCCGCGGAAUGGACCGGGGUUUCUUAAGAGGCUGUGCAAUAAAUAACCCAGGUCCCGUGGCCGCUUCCUCGAGAGGACCGUGCCUGGGAGACAAAGACCCAGAGACCGACCUAGGCGAGGACGAGGAGGAGGGAAGGCGGGACGCGAUCGACGGAGGCGUCGGGACGCACAGGAGACCCCCGGCGUCGACCCGCGCUCGGAGAUGGCCCUCUGCCCCUGCAACGAGUACCGGGAAUAAGUACCUCGGCGUAAUGUCCUCUUGGAUAUUGGACGGAAAUGUCGGAGACUUCGAUGCAUGAGGAGGCAGCGUCUAAGAAGUGUCCUGGCGAUUUGGAAAUUUGGAUAUUGGGAAAACCGAGCCGGCGAAAUUGAGGUACCGAAACGGUGGCUAAGACAAGUCCCCAAUGAUUUAUUCGCACUUGUGCUCCGCGCGUCCUUGUCCUUCUUUCUUGGUUAUGGUCGCGAUGGCUUCGAUCUCUCGUCGCAAAGGGGAGCCUCCCAGGGGGUUGCGGCGCGAUAAACUUCACGCCGUACCCCCCUCGGCUCGUAAAGAAAGAGUUUGCGGCUCGACAUCGAAUGAAUUUCAGCGGUGCGCCACAUCCUGUCUACCGGCGACCGCGGCGGCCUCGUCGACGCGAUUCGCCGUAGGUGGCUCGAUCGACCUGGGGAGAAUAGAAACCGUCUUUAAGAGAUGAUACGAUAGAAUAUGCCAUUCAGUACGAUACCCAAUAUAAUUCCACGCAACUCCUGCGCAUGAUUUCGCUUCUCUUGAAUUUCGGCACGGAUAAACGCGCGUUUGAAAUUCAAACGAGGCGGCAUCCAAGAUGGCGCGCGAUUCCCCGUAGGUGGAUCGAUCGACCUAGGUAGAAUAAAAACCCUCUUUAAGAGAUGAUACGAUAGAAUAUGCUAUUUAGUACAAUACCCAAUAUAAUUCCACGCAACUCCUGCGCACGUUUCUCUUGAAUUUCGGUACUGAUAAAUGCCGGCGCGUUUAAAAUUCAAACGAGGCGGCAUCCAAGAUGGCGAGCGCGCUUCUCGCGCUCGCCACCAGAGGGCAGGGCGCGUUUUACGGCGUCGAAAACGAGAGGUUCCCGGACCCCGAAAGCACGUAAAACGAGAGGUCCUACCGUGUUCGGUCUUUACCAGCCUCGGCGAGCCUCCGCGCGCAUAAAGCUCGGAAAUAAUAAGCGAGUCGCGGCCGCCUCGGGUUUUUAAGACUCGCGGCGCUCUCUUUUUCGCCCGAGUUCCUUUUUUACUGGCGAAGGAGUCCGCUGGGCGACGGUUUACGACGCGCGGAAGUGGGCUCGCGCCCUAACGCUUCGCGAUAUAAAUCGAGGGUGAGUUGCACGAAGCCUAGAGACCUGACAAACUGCAUAAGGUCCUUACCAAACCUAGGGUCCGUAAAAAACGAUAGGAACGUCAGGAAGAGAUAAGGAAAUUCCAUGUAACCUUUCUUCUGACUGAAAAUCAUUGUUUCUUGCAGUCUUAUAUGACUCGGAGGACGAUAUCAAGAAACUGGUAGCGUUAAGUGACAUGUAUUUGCUUCGAUAUCGACUUAUUUUUUAUCGGAGUCCUCGAUGAGGUCUCGGAGAAAGUAAAAGCGGUCGGCGGGGCUUCCGAGGUCACUCUCGGAGGAGCCUGGAGGAGGCCGUCGGCGGGGCGAAGGGUCGUCGUCAUCGGCCCUCGCGGUCGGGGCGCAUAAUAAAGUGCGCCGGUUCAUUAAUACUCUCCCGGCAGCGCUCCUCCUCCGCUUCCCGAUUCAUUGAGCGCGUCUGGUAUGCGAGGCCGCGGAGGGUCACGUGGCGCGCCCUGCGUUACCGACCGAGCCGCGCGCGCUAGGCUUCGCGCGGUCGGCGCCAGGUGGCGCGCCGGACCGAGUGUUUAUUCAUUCUCAAGAAGAGGUGAUCGCAACGAGGACACGGUCCGGGUAAGAGAAAAAAACUUGCGCCAAACCCAUCCAAUUGGGAAAGUAUAUUUUCCAAUGUCAUGUCCAGAUGGUGGGGAGUAAUCGUACGAGAGCAAUGACAUCAGGUACGUCUGCCAUAUACGUUUACGUUGUGCGUUGGACAACUUCGUAACACCUUAAGCUGGGUAGUAAUAUAUCGGAAGGUUAUUUUUGGGUCUCGAAGUUUGGCUGCUCUCUGGGUUGCGAGGAACGUCUCGGACAUCCGGGAGACGCUUAUCGGCCGGUAAUCCGGCGAUACGUUUACUCCUUUGCAUCCUGCCGAUAUGGAACGUCCUCGCGGUGGGCCUGCGGAAUUGGUGGUCCGAUUUGCCCCUAAGUUGGCAUCGAAGCAUCAAUUCGCUCGAUCGGCUUCUACUUUUUUACGACUUUGCGGUAAAUAUAAGUUUUGCGAGGUAUACAAGCCUUAUUUAUAUGUAUGUUAGGUUACAUGUUACAAAGCAGCUGAAGCAGCUGCUUUUUAGUAGGCUGUUAAACGAGCACGAGAACUUAUGUACUUGUAACUUAGGUAUAAUAAACUGUAUAAUAAUUAAUGCAAUAAAGCAACUU
This is a long non-coding RNA of Orussus abietinus, 3410 nucleotides long. RefSeq lists it as uncharacterized. The transcript has 5 exons. NCBI's taxonomy places the organism in Eukaryota, Metazoa, Arthropoda, Insecta, Hymenoptera, Orussidae. The record is from RefSeq and is a predicted model, not a curated record.